Molecule: ribosomal RNA, 734 nt
Filed under: uncultured bacterium
Lineage: Bacteria
Description: bacterial SSU rRNA
Rfam family: Bacterial small subunit ribosomal RNA
Source: RNAcentral
AGAGUUUGAUCAUGGCUCAGAACGAACGCUGGCGGCAUGCCUAACACAUGCAAGUCGAACGAGGCCCUUCGGGGUUUAGUGGCGCACGGGUGCGUAACGCGUGGGAAUCUGCCCUUUGGUUCGGAAUAACAGCUGGAAACGGCUGCUAAUACCGGAUGAUGACGAAAGUCCAAAGAUUUAUCGCCAGAGGAUGAGCCCGCGUUGGAUUAGGUAGUUGGUGGGGUAAAGGCCUACCAAGCCGACGAUCCAUAGCUGGUCUGAGAGGAUGAUCAGCCACACUGGGACUGAGACACGGCCCAGACUCCUACGGGAGGCAGCAGUGGGGAAUAUUGGACAAUGGGCGCAAGCCUGAUCCAGCAAUGCCGCGUGAGUGAUGAAGGCCCUAGGGUUGUAAAGCUCUUUUACCCGGGAAGAUAAUGACUGUACCGGGAGAAUAAGCCCCGGCUAACUCCGUGCCAGCAGCCGCGGUAAUACGGAGGGGGCUAGCGUUGUUCGGAAUUACUGGGCGUAAAGCGCACGUAGGCGGCUUUGUAAGUCAGAGGUGAAAGCCUGGAGCUCAACUCCAGAACUGCCUUUGAGACUGCAUCGCUUGAAUCCAGGAGAGGUCAGUGGAAUUCCGAGUGUAGAGGUGAAAUUCGUAGAUAUUCGGAAGAACACCAGUGGCGAAGGCGGCUGACUGGACUGGUAUUGACGCUGAAGUGCGAAAGCGUGGGGAGCAAACAGGAUUAGAUACC